RNAcentral lists this ribosomal RNA (434 nucleotides) under uncultured bacterium. Its description in RNAcentral is "bacterial SSU rRNA". It matches the Rfam family "Bacterial small subunit ribosomal RNA", at positions 958 to 1392 of the family's 1533-position model. The record is from RNAcentral.
AACGCGAAGAACCUUACCUGGGUUUGACAUACACCAGAAAGCUAUAGAGAUAUAGCCCCCCUUUGUGGUUGGUGUCAGGUGGUGCAUGGCUGUCGUCAGCUCGUGUCGUGAGAUGUUGGGUUAAGUCCCGCAACGAGCGCAACCCUUAUCUUAUGUUGCCAGCGCGUUAUGGCGGGGACUCGUGAGAGACUGCCGGGGUCAACUCGGAGGAAGGUGGGGACGACGUCAAGUCAUCAUGCCCCUUAUGUCCAGGGCUUCACACAUGCUACAAUGGCCGGUACAGAGGGCUGCGAUACCGUGAGGUGGAGCGAAUCCCUUAAAGCCGGUCUCAGUUCGGAUCGGGGUCUGCAACUCGACCCCGUGAAGUUGGAGUCGCUAGUAAUCGCAGAUCAGCAACGCUGCGGUGAAUACGUUCCCGGGCCUUGUACACACCG